UGGGGAAUAUUGCACAAUGGGCGCAAGCCUGAUGCAGCGACGCCGCGUGGGGGAUGACGGCCUUCGGGUUGUAAACUCCUUUCGCUAGGGACGAAGCUUUUUGUGACGGUACCUAGAUAAGAAGCACCGGCUAACUACGUGACAGCAGCCGCGGUAAUACGUAGGGUGCGAGCGUUGUCCGGAAUUACUGGGCGUAAAGGGCUCGUAGGUGGUUUGUCGCGUCGUCUGUGAAAUUCCGGGGCUUAACUCCGGGCGUGCAGGCGAUACGGGCAUAACUUGAGUACUGUAGGGGUAACUGGAAUUCCUGGUGUAGCGGUGAAAUGCGCAGAUAUCAGGAGGAACACCGAUGGCGAAGGCAGGUUACUGGGCAGUUACUGACGCUGAGGAGCGAAAGCAUGGGUAGCGAACAGG
RNAcentral lists this ribosomal RNA (411 nucleotides) under Actinomycetes bacterium. Its description in RNAcentral is "Actinobacteria bacterium partial 16S ribosomal RNA". It matches the Rfam family "Bacterial small subunit ribosomal RNA", at positions 355 to 776 of the family's 1533-position model. Lineage: Bacteria; Bacillati; Actinomycetota; Actinomycetes. The record is from RNAcentral.